RNAcentral lists this ribosomal RNA (495 nucleotides) under uncultured bacterium. RNAcentral's name for it is "partial 16S ribosomal RNA". It matches the Rfam family "Bacterial small subunit ribosomal RNA", at positions 28 to 507 of the family's 1533-position model. The record is from RNAcentral.
GACGAACGCUGGCGGCGUGCCUAAUACAUGCAAGUAGAACGCUGAAGGAGGAGCUUGCUCUUCUGGAUGAGUUGCGAACGGGUGAGUAACGCGUAGGUAACCUGCCUGGUAGCGGGGGAUAACUAUUGGAAACGAUAGCUAAUACCGCAUAAGAGUAGAUGUUGCAUGACAUUUGCUUAAAAGGUGCAAUUGCAUCACUACCAGAUGGACCUGCGUUGUAUUAGCUAGUUGGUGGGGUAACGGCUCACCAAGGCGACGAUACAUAGCCGACCUGAGAGGGUGAUCGGCCACACUGGGACUGAGACACGGCCCAGACUCCUACGGGAGGCAGCAGUAGGGAAUCUUCGGCAAUGGACGGAAGUCUGACCGAGCAACGCCGCGUGAGUGAAGAAGGGUUUCGGAUCGUAAAGCUCGGUUGUAAGAGAAGAACGAGUGUGAGAGUGGAAAGUUCACACUGUGACGGUAUCUUACCAGAAAGGGACGGUUAACUACGUG